RNAcentral lists this ribosomal RNA (379 nucleotides) under Parvaspina collina. Its description in RNAcentral is "partial 16S ribosomal RNA". It matches the Rfam family "Bacterial large subunit ribosomal RNA", at positions 1925 to 2542 of the family's 2925-position model. The record is from RNAcentral. Lineage: Eukaryota; Metazoa; Mollusca; Bivalvia; Unionida; Unionidae.
AAACGGCCGCGUUAGCGUGAGCGUGCUAAGGUAGCGUAAUAAAUAGCCUUUUAAUUGGAGGCCAGUGAAUGGCAAGACUAGGAAUACCUGUACCCUUUAUGAGAAAAGAACUUUUCAUCUGAGUGAAAAGACUCAGAUAACAAAGGAAGACGAAAAGACCCCGCGGAACUUUACCUUUUCUAGCCCCAGCUGCUUACAAACACGAAAGGCAAAAGGUUUGAUUGGGGCAAUCUCGGAACAAUCAAGCUUCCGAUCUACCUUAAACAAACAUUCAUAACUUGAUAAGGACAAAAAAGAAGUUACCCCGGGGAUAACAGCGUAAUCCAGCUCAAGAGUACGCAUCGAAAGCUGGGUUUGCGACCUCGAUGUUGGCUUAAGG